Cyprinus carpio (common carp) is the source of this 262-nucleotide long non-coding RNA. RefSeq lists it as uncharacterized. Lineage: Eukaryota; Metazoa; Chordata; Actinopteri; Cypriniformes; Cyprinidae. The record is from RefSeq and is a predicted model, not a curated record. The transcript has 3 exons.
CCUUAUGAUGUGGUACUUGAUACAGCUCACCUACACUGCAGAUGAACAAGUAAGCAUGUGAUGUAAUGCAUUCUCCAAAUCUGUUUAGAUGAAGAAAUAAACUCAUCUACAUCUUGGGAUGGCCUAAAAUAUUUCUCAGAGACGGAUGUCAUCCAGUGAGGUGAGCCGAUGACCAAAUAGCAGUUCCUCGUAGUCAGAGAGCUGCCGAAGAAACCCAGCAUUCGGGGCAGCGCAAGCUCGUCUUUCCUUCAGCCAACGGAAA